This 1462-nucleotide long non-coding RNA is filed under the name Homo sapiens (human). RNAcentral describes it as "HSALNT0268368". Lineage: Eukaryota; Metazoa; Chordata; Mammalia; Primates; Hominidae. The record is from RNAcentral.
GCGGGCCCCCGCGCUGCUUCUGCGACCAAGCGUGCGGCGCGGCGCGGCGCGGGACUGCUGCGCAGACUAUACGCGGGUCUGCCCAGGUGCACCCGGGGAAAGCCACUCCCAUCCAGCCAUUCCUGGGUCAUCACUUCCUGUAAAGAUGUCAGUUUCCCUGAGGAAGAUCGGGAAGAUCAUCCUGACUUGCUAAUAUGUGCCAAGUGCCUCACCACAUGACCUGACUCUGUGAGGUCUUGCUGUAUUGCCCAAGGCUGGAGGACAGUGAUGCAAUCAUGGCUCCCUGCAGCCUUGAUCUUCUGAGCUCAGUCCCUGCUUUGAUAACCACAGGCAGCUACGGGAAAGAGUGGGAAAAGUGAGAUAGUCCCAAGAAACAGGCAACAGCAGGGAACAAGAUGUGGCUGUGGCAAGCGGCCAGCCAUCCCCGGUGCCGAGGGACCUGGGAGAAGCUAGGGCAGCUCCGGCAUUGUUCCUGCCCUGUGGUCCACAGCCUCGUCUUCAUCUAGCGUCUGCACCCCCUAACCGUCUUUCCAAAGCCUCGGGGAUGGCAGGGAAACUGCAGGGCUUGGGAUCCCGCAGAACCAAAGAGUUGGGAGAAAUCUGCAAUUUUGAGACUGAAGGAACAAGCCUUGUCGUUAUGUUGACACUGAAAAUAGCUUUAUGCUUCCACUCAGUGCCAGCUGAGUCACGGUCCUACUGACAUCUCCUGCCCAUUCAGGGCUUCCCACAUUUCAUCUCCCAGACACACUCUCCUGGCCCUUGCCCUAUUCUCCUUAUUGUAUACUUAAUUUUUUAAUGAACUCUCUCCCUUCCCUUCCCUUUCCUUCCCUCUCUCUCUCUCUUUCUUUCUUUUCUCUUUUUUGGAUGGAGUUUCACUCUUGUCACCCAGGUUGGAGUACAGUGGGGUGAUCUUAGCUCACUGCAACUUCCACCUCCCAGGGUUCAAGCGAUUCUCCUGCCUCAGCCUCCUGAGUAGCUGGGAUUACAGGCGUGCACCACCAUGCCUGGCUAAUUUUUGUAUUUUUAGUAGAGAUGGGGUUUCACCAUUUGACCAGGCUGGUCUUGAACUCCUGACCUCAGGUGAUGUGCCUAACUCGACCUCCCAAAGUGCUGGGAUUACCGGCAUGAGCCACCGUGCGCAGCCCCUCCUUCCCUCCCUUGUCUCCCUCCCCCACUUCCCUCUCCCCCCCUUCUCUCUCCCCCUUCCCCCCCUUCCCUCUCCCCCUCCCCCCUCCCUCCCUCCCUCCCUCCCUUCCUCCCUUCCUUCCUUCCUUCCUUCCUUCCUUCCUUCCUUCCUUCCUUCCCUCUUUCUUGACAGAAUCUCCCUCUGUCACCCAGGCUGGAGUGCAGUGGCACAAUCUCUGCUUGCUACAACCUCGGCCUCCCAGGUUCAAGCGAUUCUGUCACUUCAGCCUCCCUAGUAGCUGGGACUACAGGUGCACACCACCAUGCCCAGCUAAUU